GACUCAACCGAUUCGUUCACAUACACUGAUUCACCCGGGAACCAAACACCAGCGCACUGGCUUUGUUUGGAAUUAUUUUUCUUGGCGGAGCAAAUUUCCAAAAACUAACUGAAACAUUGUGUCAAACAUGUUUGUGGGUCACCACAAUUUCGAUGGUUUAUUCAAAUCAUACCAAGAGGUCAAGGUUUAGCUAGUUCGCCCCUGCUGGGAUGUGCCAUAACUACACCAUUGUGGAGCUUUUCUCUUGACUUUGGAGCCUGACUGUUGCAAGAAGAAACCCCACCAGCCCCAAAGACAUAUUCCCUCAAUUUAACAGCAGACCAAGGUGUUUCUCCAGCAUCAUCGGAUCAAUGAAAACCCCAGGGACGAUGCUGAUUGCCAAAGAUUGGACAAGCUAACAAGCACAUGAUGAGGAACCAGUUGGUUCUUCUUGCUUUCUCUCAGUUUUCGGAGGUCUUUGGGACAGGCACACACAAAAGGGAAGCUGAUCCGUGGAUGUAUUCUGUCAUUCUUUUGGAGGCUGCUUUUUCUUCCUUGUUUUGACUUGGUUCAACUUGACAGGGUGCUUUUAAGGAUAUUGUGGGGUCUAAAAAUGAGUGGAAUACCAGGAAAUCAAUGAAAGGAUGUAUUCAUGGAUCGGAGCUGGUGGACUAAAUUUUAACUCCCUUUCAGUUCAAGUCACUGACUCAUUUAUCAGAGUCUUCCAUCAUAGAGGUGGCCUAUUGAGAUCGGCACACUUUGGUUUUUCCGUUACAUGUGGCACAAACUGUUACAAUAAUAUGUGUGGGCUGAGGGACUGAUUCAAGGGCUGAAGUGAGCUCUGGAGAAGACUCUGGGACUGGAGUGGGCUCAGGAACAGAUUCGGGGACUAAAGUGGACGGCACCACCUCGGGAGGUUCUGCAGCGGAAGCCAGCCUCAGGCACCUUGGGACAGACUUUUUUGUCUUCAAAUGUAACAUUCACAAUGCUCUGGAACACUGGAGUGGCAUCUGUGAUGGCUGAAGACUGUGGCCUGACAUCUCUGAAGGUCGGAGUCUCUGGCAUGGCGGUCCUGACGUGAACAGGCUCUGGCUUGGCAGACUUGAUGUGAGCAGGCUCUGGCGUGGCGGCCCUGACAUGAACAGGCUCUGGCUUGGCAGACUUGAGGUGAGCAGGCUCUGUCUUGGCAGGCUUGAUGUAAGCAGGCUUUGGCAGGCUUGAUGUGAAUAGGCUCUGG
This is a long non-coding RNA of Cyprinus carpio carpio, 1216 nucleotides long. The record is from Ensembl. Lineage: Eukaryota; Metazoa; Chordata; Actinopteri; Cypriniformes; Cyprinidae.